This 256-nucleotide ribosomal RNA is filed under the name uncultured bacterium. RNAcentral's name for it is "partial 16S ribosomal RNA". It matches the Rfam family "Bacterial small subunit ribosomal RNA", at positions 524 to 777 of the family's 1533-position model. The record is from RNAcentral.
UACGAAGGGGGCUAGCGUUGCUCGGAAUCACUGGGCGUAAAGCGCACGUAGGCGGCUUUCUAAGUCAGGGGUGAAAUCCUGGAGCUCAACUCCAGAACUGCCUUUGAUACUGGAAGCUUGAGUUCGGGAGAGGUGAGUGGAACUGCGAGUGUAGAGGUGAAAUUCGUAGAUAUUCGCAAGAACACCAGUGGCGAAGGCGGCUCACUGGGCCCGGAUACUGACGCUGAGGUGCGAAAGCGGUGGGGAGCAAACAGGG